This 433-nucleotide ribosomal RNA is filed under the name uncultured bacterium. RNAcentral's name for it is "partial 16S ribosomal RNA". It matches the Rfam family "Bacterial small subunit ribosomal RNA", at positions 29 to 507 of the family's 1533-position model. The record is from RNAcentral.
AACGAACGCUGGCGGCAUGCCUAACACAUGCAAGUCGAACGAGACCUUCGGGUCUAGUGGCGCACGGGUGCGUAACGCGUGGGAACCUGCCCUUAGGUUCGGAAUAACUCCCCGAAAGGGGUGCUAAUACCGGAUAAUGUCUUCGGACCAAAGAUUUAUCGCCUUUGGAUGGGCCCGCGUUGGAUUAGCUAGUUGGUAGGGUAAAAGCCUACCAAGGCGACGAUCCAUAGCUGGUCUGAGAGGAUGAUCAGCCACACUGGGACUGAGACACGGCCCAGACUCCUACGGGGGGCAGCAGUGGGGGAAUUUUGGCAAUGGGCGGAAAGCUGAUCCAGCAAAGCCGCGGGGGUGAAGGAGGGCUUAAGGUUGGAAAACUCUUUUUCCCGGGAAGGUAAAGGCAGGUCCGGGGAGAUUAGGUCCGGCUAACUCCGUG